GCCAGGCAAGGUGUUGCAUGCCUGUAAUCCCAGCAGCUCUGGAGGCUGAGGCAGGAGGAUUGUGUGUUCAAAGCCAGCCUCAGCAAAAGCAAGGUGCUUUUGCUCAGUGAGACCCUGUCUCUA
Molecule: small RNA, 123 nt
Filed under: Marmota monax (woodchuck)
Lineage: Eukaryota; Metazoa; Chordata; Mammalia; Rodentia; Sciuridae
Source: RNAcentral